AUACGGAGGGAUCUAGCGUUAUUCGGAAUAACUGGGCGUAAAGCGAGCGUAGGCGGAUUUGUAAGUUGGAGGUGAAAUCCCAGGGCUUAACCCUGGAACUGCCUUCAAAACUACAUUUCUUGAGUUUGGUAGAGGAGAGUGGAAUUCCUAGUGUAGAGGUGAAAUUCGUAGAUAUUAGGAGGAACACCAGUGGCGAAGGCGACUCUCUGGGCCAAUACUGACGCUGAGGUUCGAAAGCGUGGGGAGCGAACAGGAUUAGAUACCCUGGUAGUCCACGCCGUAAACGAUGAUCACUCGUUGCUGGUAAUAUACCAUCAGUGACCAAGCGAAAGUGUUAAGUGAUCCACCUGGGAAGUACGUUCGCAAGAAUGAAACUCAAAGGAAUUGACGGGGCCCGCACAAGCGGUGGAGCAUGUGGUUUAAUUCGAUGAUACGCGAGGAACCAUACCAGGGCUUAAAUGCAGUUCGACAGAUUUAGAAAUAAAUCCUUCUUCGGACGAAUUGCAAGGUGCUGCAU
RNAcentral lists this ribosomal RNA (517 nucleotides) under uncultured bacterium. RNAcentral's name for it is "bacterial SSU rRNA". It matches the Rfam family "Bacterial small subunit ribosomal RNA", at positions 523 to 1046 of the family's 1533-position model. The record is from RNAcentral.